UUCAUCGGAAUCGGGUCUGGCCUCACUAACCCGACUCCACACGAACAAAAAUCGUAAGAAAAUAAAAUAACAAUAAAAAAAAAAAAAACUUUACGCAUUCCUGCACUUGCGCCCUUGGUCUGACGACAACGAAAAGUAUUUCGAGGCUAUAAAAAUUAGGUUAAUUGUGUCGUUAAAUGUGAAAAUUAAACAACAAAAACAAGAACACUAUAGCUGCGAGUUUGAGCCAGAGCAGCGCUCGUCGAUACAUCAAACCCAAAACCACCCGAGAUGGCGGCGGCGGAGGACAUUGACUGAAAAACUACGUGUACAGUUCUCGAACUCGUGAGCUACAUCAACUACGUCGGUUAAACACAUUUACCGAAAAUAGAUAAAGGACAACUUAACAAUCAAAUCAACUAUAAUAUUUGUCAUGGUAGAAACACGGGAUCGUCGUGCUUGAUUAUAGACAGGUAUAACUUCUCUAAUAACUGAUGGAAAUUAUAAUAUACACCGUAUGGAUGCACGUUAUGGUUGCAAUGUCUAGAUACAAGUAUUAUUCAUAUUUUAUAAUGCCAUUAUGACUAUGAUGUACACAAUACGUAUAAUAUUAAGAUAUCUCAUUAUAAUUAUAUGGACGCAUAAAUGGAUAUUAUACGACGUUAGUUAGCACGAAUUUAAUAUGAAUUGAUGUAUAAUAUUAUUGCUAUCAGAUUUGAAACGGCAACAACCAGAGAACGUCAAGCAACGAAGUCAAUUAUUAUGCUGCAUUUAACCACGAUGCAUUAAGCAUUUGCAUAAUUACAAACCGUCCUGUACGUCUCAAACUGUGAAAAACAAAAUA
Aphis gossypii (cotton aphid) is the source of this 823-nucleotide long non-coding RNA. RefSeq lists it as uncharacterized. The transcript is spliced from 4 exons. NCBI's taxonomy places the organism in Eukaryota, Metazoa, Arthropoda, Insecta, Hemiptera, Aphididae. The record is from RefSeq and is a predicted model, not a curated record.